Molecule: ribosomal RNA, 473 nt
Filed under: uncultured bacterium
Lineage: Bacteria
Description: bacterial SSU rRNA
Rfam family: Bacterial small subunit ribosomal RNA
Source: RNAcentral
AGGACGAACGCUGGCGGCGUGCCUAACACAUGCAAGUCGAGCGAGGAGAUCCUUCGGGAUGAUCCUAGCGGCGGACGGGUGAGUAACACGUGGGCAACCUGCCUCAUAGAGAGGAAUAGCCUUCCGAAAGGGAGAUUAAUACCUCAUAACAUUGCAGUUUCGCAUGGACAGCAAUUAAAGGAGCAAUCCACUAUGAGAUGGGCCCGCGGCGCAUUAGCUAGUUGGUGAGGUAACGGCUCACCAAGGCGACGAUGCGUAGCCGACCUGAGAGGGUGAUCGGCCACAUUGGGACUGAGACACGGCCCAGACUCCUACGGGAGGCAGCAGUGGGGAAUAUUGCACAAUGGGGGAAACCCUGAUGCAGCAACGCCGCGUGAGUGAUGACGGCCUUCGGGUUGUAAAGCUCUGUCUUCAGGGACGAUAAUGACGGUACCUGAGGAGGAAGCCACGGCUAACUACGUGCCAGCCGCCGC